This is a non-coding RNA of Rattus norvegicus (Norway rat), 2635 nucleotides long. Lineage: Eukaryota; Metazoa; Chordata; Mammalia; Rodentia; Muridae. The record is from RefSeq and is a predicted model, not a curated record.
UACAAAAUUAAAUUCUAAAUUGAAAUAUUCCUGAAGUUUUAUUAACCUUGGGAUGUCAGAGAAUCUAAGGAUGUCCAAAAACUUUAUUUAUUUACACAGGAAAGAUGAACAAAUAAGAAAUUAUACUAAAAUUUUGUCUUUAAUUAUCUUUCCAUAGAUAUGUCUUUGAUGCAGGGUUGAAGAUUUUCAUGAGACUCUUAGAAAACUGAGGCAUCUUGGCCUAAUAGUAUUUCAGUUGUUAAAUUGUAUAUGCCAUAGAAAUGAAAAAUGCUCACUGAUAAUUAACGAUGGCUGGGUUAAAUCUUUCCUGCAGUUAAAAAUUUUAAUGCCUUUUUGGAAGUUUCUAUAAAUGUUAAAAUUACACAUUAUGUUGCUCUAGGGGAGGUGUGUGAAAGGAGGAGGAGUUCUAGGAAACAGGAAUGGAAACAGAUGAUGGUAUUUCACGGUGAUGAUGAAAGACACUUGUGCUGCCUGCUUCGUUCUGGCCAUAACAUGAAUUAAAUAAGUCUGGAGGGAGCCUUGCUCUGCAUUGGGUGAGAAGAAGCAAUACAAGCUUACAUACUUUCAGGGACCCCCGACGCUGUAACUGCUCUUAAAACCAUUUAACUUUAAACAAAAUGCUCCAGAGACCUAAUUUUUGUGAUCUUCACCAUGUGAGACCCACCACGGUUGUAUUUCAGACAUUUAUUGAGCACGUACUACACGCAAGGUAUUCUGCUGCGAGCUGAACGUGAAGCCGAGUCUAGCGUGGAUCUCUUUCUCACGGAGGUUAUAGCUUAAGCCGCAGUGUUCUUUUGUAAUUAUUGCAAACAAGAUGAUACGCUUAAGCUGCUGAUGUGUAUAGCACUGUAGGCCUGGAGAGAUCUGAUUUGAUGCCAGCAAAUGAGGAUUGCCAGGUGUUUUCCACAUAAAUAAGAACGCAACAGCCAACUUGUCUGAUGCGCACGGCAAGCCAGCAUCCUGGCUGGCUGUUGUUCAUCUUGAUUUGGAUCCCUGUCUCUUGUCACUUCGGCAGCAGAGGUAGGUGAGAGUUCUGUAGGCAUGAGUGGGAUUUACUUAAUCCUUCCAACGGAGCUGAACCGGGAGACAGAGCGCAUGCUCUCUUGCACUCUUCAAUCUAGUCUAGCUAUUCUGGAGGUUGAGUUUAUAAUAAAAUUUCCUUUCACUAGUCUCGAGGAAUAAAAUCAACACACUUCAACCCACUAAUUUCACUUAAUUUUUUUUUAAAAAUAAUUUCAUUUGAUUUUCAAACCUGAUGACUUCUUUUGCUUCAGAAUUUGUAAAUCUCAAGAAAAACAAAAUCAAUGUAUCGCUGAAAUUCACAGACAAAGUUAGCGAUAGAGUUGUUUCUCAGGAUCCAAAGGCAACCCCCUUUAGACCAUAUUGUCCUGCUUUAGAAGAAUUCUUCUGUUAAGUGAAAGGUUUUACACACACACACACACACACACACACACACACACACACACACACACACACACACCCCUUGACCUACACCCCUUGACUAUUUACAAUCAGCUGUUUGAUGAUUAGGUAUGUCUUGGCAUUAUAACAAAAUACUAUCAACUGAGUGACCUAUAAGCAAUAGACAUUUAUUUUGAGUAGUUCUGUAGGCUAGAACAUCUGCAACCAGGAGUACAUAAAUAUUUGUUGUCCAUUGAGGAUCUGCUCCAGAUUCAGGAAUUUCAUGCCCUUGUUCUUUGUUCAGGAACUUUAUAGGGUGUGUGUUCAUGUGCAUGCGUGUGUGUGUGUGUGUGUGUGUGUGUGUGUGUGUGUGUGUGUUGGGAGAUGAGAGAUUUGUCAGGGUCUCACCAGGGAGUUCUCGGUAAGAACGAUAAUUUUUCAGUUGUGUCUUAAUGUUGAGAAUGUAAACAUGGUGGUGUGUAUCACUCCGGGUUGUAAUGGGUUGACUGCAGUAAAGAUUUGUAAAGUCUAAAAUCCAAAUUAUAAGAACUUGAUCUUAUACACUAACCACUUCCCAAGCGUCCCACCAUUUAACACUACCACCUUGUGGGUUAGGACUGUAAUAUAUGAAGUUUUCAGGGGCACAAACCUGCAGCCUACAUAGCAGGAACUCAGAGAAGACUUUUUUUUCCCACUGAAAUUCCUAAUAGCACAUUAAGGGAGAUGAGUCAAUUUUGUUGGCCUUUGGCCUAGACUUCUUAGACUCCCAGGUGAGAGUGAAGCUAUUGAGACAGCCUAUGUUACCUGCUUCUCUUGGCUGAGUUCCCGCCUUUUUCCUGGCUGCCCAGUGACAAGGUUAUUCUUUCCCCUAUGGUUGUAAUGAGCCUUACCUAUGGGUUUCUAUUUCUUCAGAGGCAGGCUAUGUUAGUGAAAUGUCACUCAUUUCUGUGGUUAUGAUUACCAGGACUCUUGAUUUCAGUAAUAGGACUGAUUGUAAUAUAAAUAUAUGUAUACCACAAAUUCUAUUUAAAUUAUGACAGUAAAAUGGGGAUGUAUAUAUUUGUUCAUUCAACAACUAUUGAACAUUAUUAUGUAAAAGCAUUUGCUGUGCCCUGGACAUAUCAUACUGAAUAUAAUGAAAUCUAUAUCCUCUUCAAUUGAAAAUACAGAUAUUAUAAUGAUAUAGAUGUUUACUGAAGAACUCAUAAGUAAAUAAAAGUAGAUAGUAAAAUAA